Molecule: small nuclear RNA, 105 nt
Organism: Otolemur garnettii (small-eared galago)
Lineage: Eukaryota; Metazoa; Chordata; Mammalia; Primates; Galagidae
Source: Ensembl
GUGCUCGCUUCGGCAGCACAUAUACUAAAAUUGGAACAAAACAGAAGAUUAGCAUGGCCUCUGUGCAAGGAUGACACACAAAUUCAUGAAGUGUUCCAUAUUUUU